This 497-nucleotide ribosomal RNA is filed under the name uncultured bacterium. RNAcentral's name for it is "partial 16S ribosomal RNA". It matches the Rfam family "Bacterial small subunit ribosomal RNA", at positions 28 to 507 of the family's 1533-position model. The record is from RNAcentral.
GAUGAACGCUGGCGGCGUGCCUAAUACAUGCAAGUCGAGCGAACGGACGAGAAGCUUGCUUUUCUGAUGUUAGCGGCGGACGGGUGAGUAACACGUGGAUAACCUACCUAUAAGACUGGGAUAACUUCGGGAAACCGGAGCUAAUACCGGAUAAUAUUUUGAACCGCAUGGUUCAAAAGUGAAAGACGGUCUUGCUGUCACUUAUAGAUGGAUCCGCGCUGCAUUAGCUAGUUGGUAAGGCAACGGCUUACCAAGGCAACGAUGCAUAGCCGACCUGAGAGGGUGAUCGGCCACACUGGAACUGAGACACGGUCCAGACUCCUACGGGAGGCAGCAGUAGGGAAUCUUCCGCAAUGGGCGAAAGCCUGACGGAGCAACGCCGCGUGAGUGAUGAAGGUCUUCGGAUCGUAAAACUCUGUUAUUAGGGAAGAACAUAUGUGUAAGUAACUGUGCACAUCUUGACGGUACCUAAUCAGAAAGCCACGGCUAACUACGUG